GUGAACGCUAGCGACAGGCUUAACACAUGCAAGUCGAGGGGCAGCACAGGUAGCAAUACCGGGUGGCGACCGGCGCACGGGUGAGUAACGCGUAUGCAACUUACCUAUCAGAGGGGGAUAACCCGGCGAAAGUCGGACUAAUACCGCAUGAAGCAGGGGCCCCGCAUGGGGAUAUUUGCUAAAGAUUCAUCGCUGAUAGAUAGGCAUGCGUUCCAUUAGGCAGUUGGCGGGGUAACGGCCCACCAAACCGACGAUGGAUAGGGGUUCUGAGAGGAAGGUCCCCCACAUUGGUACUGAGACACGGACCAAACUCCUACGGGAGGCAGCAGUGAGGAAUAUUGGUCAAUGGCCGAGAGGCUGAACCAGCCAAGUCGCGUGAGGGAUGAAGGUUCUAUGGAUCGUAAACCUCUUUUAUAAGGGAAUAAAGUGCGGGACGUGUCCCGUUUUGUAUGUACCUUAUGAAUAAGGAUCGGCUAACUCCGUGCCAGCAGCCGCGGUAAUACGGAGGAUCCGAGCGUUAUCCGGAUUUAUUGGGUUUAAAGGGUGCGUAGGCGGCCUUUUAAGUCAGCGGUGAAAGUCUGUGGCUCAACCAUAGAAUUGCCGUUGAAACUGGGAGGCUUGAGUAUGUUUGAGGCAGGCGGAAUGCGUGGUGUAGCGGUGAAAUGCAUAGAUAUCACGCAGAACCCCGAUUGCGAAGGCAGCCUGCCAAGCCAUUACUGACGCUGAUGCACGAAAGCGUGGGGAUCAAACAGGAUUAGAUACCCUGGUAGUCCACGCAGUAAACGAUGAUCACUAGCUGUUUGCGAUACACUGUAAGCGGCACAGCGAAAGCGUUAAGUGAUCCACCUGGGGAGUACGCCGGCAACGGUGAAACUCAAAGGAAUUGACGGGGGCCCGCACAAGCGGAGGAACAUGUGGUUUAAUUCGAUGAUACGCGAGGAACCUUACCCGGGUUUGAACGCAUUCGGACCGAGGUGGAAACACCUUUUCUAGCAAUAGCCGUUUGCGAGGUGCUGCAUGGUUGUCGUCAGCUCGUGCCGUGAGGUGUCGGCUUAAGUGCCAUAACGAGCGCAACCCUUGCCACUAGUUACUAACAGGUAAAGCUGAGGACUCUGGUGGGACUGCCAGCGUAAGCUGCGAGGAAGGCGGGGAUGACGUCAAAUCAGCACGGCCCUUACAUCCGGGGCGACACACGUGUUACAAUGGCGUGGACAAAGGGAAGCCACCUGGCGACAGGGAGCGAAUCCCCAAACCACGUCUCAGUUCGGAUCGGAGUCUGCAACCCGACUCCGUGAAGCUGGAUUCGCUAGUAAUCGCGCAUCAGCCAUGGCGCGGUGAAUACGUUCCCGGGCCUUGUACACACCGCCCGUCAAGCCAUGGGAGCCGGGGGUACCUGAAGUCCGUAACCGCGAGGAUCGGCCUAGGGUAAAACUGGUGACUGGGG
Molecule: ribosomal RNA, 1444 nt
Filed under: uncultured organism
Description: SSU rRNA
Rfam family: Bacterial small subunit ribosomal RNA
Source: RNAcentral